CGGGAGGGGCGCGCCAGGUCAGCACGCGGUGACACGUCGGAUGGGAACCGAGGGGGCUUGGCUGGCUGGCUGGCUGGCAGCCUGUGCGCCUCGCAAUUCGUGUGACUGUUGACCCUUGUGGGCCUGAGGUCUAAGGCGUGGCCUGGUCGGUGGCCUGUGCGCGCUUCUCGUUUAGCUCGUGAUCCCGGCGCCACCGCGUCGUCGUGUCGCGGUGCUCUGGGUACAGCCUACAGCAUGCGCGCGGCGCCCGUUCUCCCACGUUCGGCACGGGCUUGUGUUCGGUCUUUGUUUUGCUUUAACGAAAUUUCGGUUUGGAUUUUAGCGACCAAACCGAACCAAAUGCGGUUUUUCACGUGCCUCAGAAAACAUCGCGGAGCACUUUUGCAUUUUUUGCUGGGUCUAGUUUUUCAGGAGUCAGGACUACGUGAAGUUAUAUCGUGGAGCUAAUGUUGUAUGAAUGGAUUUGUUUAGCAGACUUGUAGAGUUGUAGUAGGUGCUGCUGGCCGCACACUCACCACAUCGAAGCCUCAAAGUGUCAAUAGAAUCCACCUCUCCCUUGUUCGGCCGCACUGCCGGCACAUGGUGUGUUUCCAUCUUUUAUAUGUGUCUAUAUGUCCGUGUCUAAAAUCACACAUGGGGACGGGCACCCAAAAAAAUUGCAAUCAUUUGUUUCUAUAACUAUGUGACGGAAAGAGGGGCACCGGUUUUUUUAUGAGCAAAAUCAAGUGGACUAAGAAACAUUGCAGUGCUAGAUUAACUAAAGACAGAUCAGACCAGGACCAACAAUCGAAUGGGUAGCUAAACUAACUUGGGUGCUCCACGGUAAAAACACGUCAACUAUGUACUAAUUUGUGUAUGCAACUAUGCAUUUUGUCUAACUUUUGACCAUUGGUCAAACACGUUGGGGCUUCUUUCUUUUUCUUUUUUGCUUUUGUUAUGGUUCUAAAGUUGAGAUGUGUAGCACAAGGGUCCGGACGCGGAAACACAAAUAGAUUGUGACGGGACCUGCUCUCGUGUUACGGAUGGUAAACAUUUUGUCAUUUUCCUCGCUACAUGCUGGGUAGUUCGAUCUUUAUUGAUAGGGCAUGUUCUCAUUGCAUGAAAAAAAACACCAUCCUUUAGCUUUAGCUUUAGAGUAUACUUCGUCCAUUCCAAAAUAUAAGACACAUAACUUUAGUUGACUGUCAAACUUGUUAAAUUUUGGUCAAGUUUAUAAAUAACAUUUAAAAUCGCAAAUCAAGAUUAGAAGAUCUAUCAUGAAGACCGUUAACAAAAGUUAUAUGUCAUAUAUUUUGAAACAGAGUAACUAUAUGCUUUUAGAGAUGUCUGAUCCCUAGUGAUUUGCUACACUACUGUGAUGUGCAGCUCUUAAUUUCACCAUUUC
RNAcentral lists this long non-coding RNA (1384 nucleotides) under Brachypodium distachyon (stiff brome). RNAcentral describes it as "long non-coding RNA (BDIS_LNC000095)". Lineage: Eukaryota; Viridiplantae; Streptophyta; Magnoliopsida; Poales; Poaceae. The record is from RNAcentral.